GAUGAACGCUGGCGGCGUGCCUAAUACAUGCCAGUCGAGCGAACGGACGAGAAGCUUGCUUCUCUGAUGUUAGCGGCGGACGGGUGAGUAACACGUGGAUAACCUACCUAUAAGACUGGGAUAACUUCGGGAAACCGGAGCUAAUACCGGAUGAUAUUUUGAACCGCAUGGUUCAAAAGUGAAAGACGGUAUUGCUGUCACUUAUAGAUGGAUCCGCGCUGCAUUAGCUAGUUGGUAAGGUAACGGCUUACCAAGGCAACGAUGCAUAGCCGACCUGAGAGGGUGAUCGGCCACACUGGAACUGAGACACGGUCCAGACUCCUACGGGAGGCAGCAGUAGGGAAUCUUCCGCAAUGGGCGAAAGCCUGACGGAGCAACGCCGCGUGAGUGAUGAAGGUCUUCGGAUCGUAAAACUCUGUUAUUAGGGAAGAACAUAUGUGUAAGUAACUGUGCACAUCUUGACGGUACCUAAUCAGAAAGCCACGGCUAACUACGUGC
Molecule: ribosomal RNA, 498 nt
Filed under: uncultured bacterium
Lineage: Bacteria
Description: partial 16S ribosomal RNA
Rfam family: Bacterial small subunit ribosomal RNA
Source: RNAcentral